RNAcentral lists this long non-coding RNA (270 nucleotides) under Gossypium barbadense (sea-island cotton). RNAcentral describes it as "long non-coding RNA (GBAR_LNC010636)". The record is from RNAcentral. Lineage: Eukaryota; Viridiplantae; Streptophyta; Magnoliopsida; Malvales; Malvaceae.
UCGAGCUCAGUAUGAGUUCGAAACAAGACUUGAGCAGAAAUACAAAAUUUAAAUUAGUAGCACUACGGAUUUUCAGUUACACACACUGUCAGAAAGCUCCAUUGGAAUUAACGUUCCAAUAGAACUUAUCAACCAGAGCACAUCAAAUUCACAUAAAAACCCAGCAUAAAAGUCGUUCAUAUGACAGAAUACAGUUAACAAAUAUUACAGUCAAAACCUACAGAUAGAUGCAGAUGAAAUGCAGUGAGAUAAAAACCCACCCACCCUACC